UCCAUAAAACAUAACAUUUACUUACCUAAUCUGUCACGUAGUAGCGACUACGGCAAAUUAGCUGUACUCCCGUAGUAGACCGUUACAAUGUACACGUCACGAAGUAGCACUGAAAGUCGCGCGUGCGCAAUGGCACUUUAUUUGCCGUUGCCGUUCCAUCAGCUGUUGUUGCUUAAAGUCCCUAAUCAAACGCUGCAGGGAGGGAGUUACCAUGGAAACGGGGCGGCAACUCUGAACACUCCAACUGACAGCUGCAACACUGCAUCUCUCACUGCUGUUUUCACCGUUUUCAGGAGUAACACUUCUACAACAGAAGAGAAGCUCCAAGAUAUCUAAAUUUCUGAAGGAAGCUGCUGACAGAGAUGUGGGAAACAUAGGUUUCCCAUCCCAGUGUUACUACAGCUUGGAUCCAGCCUCACUUGUGGUUACUUCAGAUGAAGACCCCCAGAUGAUGGCAACUAUAGAUGAACAUACCAACCUGACAAAUGUUAUGUAUUGUAAUCAUUGCCUUAAAGCAUACAUCGAGUGAUUUUCAACCCACUUUGUAUUGUUACUAUGAUGGCAAUAUAUGUGAACGAACAAGGUUUAAUCUUUCUCUGAGUUCCAUGAGAUAUUCCCAUUUAUUUGUCAGCCAAAUAAUAUUUAGCAUUAUCCGAGUAUUGUUUAUUUACAUAUUACAGACUUUGUGACAGUAUAAAGUGGGUUUAAAUUCACCGAACUUACCCUUUAAUGUUUGUCUGUUUAACUGAACAUGACUUUGAACACAUAACUUGUAUUAUCUUAGAGUUAUUGGCAUAUAGACAUUAAUUUGUUGCCAGAAGAUGCUCCCCAUUGAUUCACAGUCACCUCAGGCUGUUGAUAGGAAUUUUUUUUUGAAACCUUUAAUUUUUCUAAAGCUGCUUUGAUUGUGAAACGCAUUGUACCCUUACAACAGUUAACCAUGUUUUUACUAUGGUAAAACUAGUAAUCAUAAAUUUAGUAAUCAGGGUUUUUUUUUUUGUGGCCCGCUGGUCUUAUGUUAGCUGGGGAAUAACGCUAACGUUAACCCCGCACAGCGACAGAUCAAAUAUCACAUUAACCGUGAAAUCAGUGUGCUCAUCUUACCACAGCUUAUUAAAAAUAGAGGUAAAUAAUCAUAUCAUCAUAUUAAUUUACCUUAUAAUCCUGCUUGCUGCGAGCUGCGUGACCGUCUGACUACGAGACGAGUGAAGGAUCCAGAAAGUUUGAUGAAGAGGAAAAAUAAACAAACCGGUUGGGUCAAAAUAACCCAACCCAGGUGUUCAGUGGUGAAAGAACCCCUUGCAGUCCAUUUGACCCAGCAUGAACAACCCAACUGUGUGUUUACAGUACCUCAAACAACCCAGAAUUAUGACCCAGCACAAUUAACCCAAAAA
Onychostoma macrolepis is the source of this 1394-nucleotide long non-coding RNA. RefSeq lists it as uncharacterized. The record is from RefSeq and is a predicted model, not a curated record. NCBI's taxonomy places the organism in Eukaryota, Metazoa, Chordata, Actinopteri, Cypriniformes, Cyprinidae. The transcript is spliced from 3 exons.